UACGAAGGGGGCGAGCGUUGUUCGGAUUUACUGGGCGUAAAGGGCGCGCAGGCGGCGCAUUUUGUCAGGCGUGAAAGCCCCGGGCUUAACCUGGGAACUGCGUUUGAUACGGAUGGGCUAGAGUUCGGGAGAGGAGAGUGGAAUUCCCAGUGUAGAGGUGAAAUUCGUAGAUAUUGGGAAGAACACCGGUGGCGAAGGCGGCUCUCUGGACCGAGACUGACGCUGAGGCGCGAAAGCCAGGGGAGCAAACGGG
Molecule: ribosomal RNA, 253 nt
Filed under: uncultured bacterium
Lineage: Bacteria
Description: partial 16S ribosomal RNA
Rfam family: Bacterial small subunit ribosomal RNA
Source: RNAcentral